GCAUUGCAAUGAUGAUUUUUAUUCUUUAGUCGGAUACCCCUUCACUCUUAAUCAUGAGUGAUAGCCGUUGUCUGACGAGGC
Molecule: small nucleolar RNA, 81 nt
Filed under: Paramormyrops kingsleyae
Lineage: Eukaryota; Metazoa; Chordata; Actinopteri; Osteoglossiformes; Mormyridae
Description: Small nucleolar RNA SNORD101 (ENSPKIG00000024174.1)
Source: RNAcentral